RNAcentral lists this small RNA (132 nucleotides) under Salmonella enterica subsp. enterica serovar Thompson. Its description in RNAcentral is "RtT sRNA". It matches the Rfam family "RtT RNA". Rfam says of the family: This family represents a bacterial cis-regulatory element known as RtT RNA. The exact function of RtT is unknown although it is thought that it may be involved in changing the cellular response in relation to amino acid starvation. RNAcentral also lists the same sequence under 2 other names. Lineage: Bacteria; Pseudomonadati; Pseudomonadota; Gammaproteobacteria; Enterobacterales; Enterobacteriaceae. The record is from RNAcentral.
UAUCUCUCCGUAUAGGGAAGGAUGAGAAGCUUCGACCAAGGUUCGAUUCGAGCGUCAGCGAGAAAGCGUUGCCGCAGGCAACGACCCGAAGGGUAAGGAGCGGAGCGACGAAUAAUCCUUCCCCCACCACCA